GUGAAUCAGAAGCUGCAUGUCUUACCUGCGCAGAAGAGUCCAUGUUGUUUACUCGGACGGCAUCCUCGAUGGUUCCAAUUUCCAGCCCAUUCCCCAAUUUUCAACCCCAGUGACAGACAACACACGCUGGAAUGUCUGUUUAGCUAAAGAAGGGAAUUGUGUCGGUGACAGUUGGGUGCAGGCGUCUGGGGAGGCUGAAUGAUGGCAAAGCCCAAAUGAACCUUGGUCUGACCUUUGACCACCUCCUCCCUGCAACAUCACCAGCUGAGGGCUGCCACAGAGGAUCUGCUUGUGUGCUAUGAACCAGAAGUGAUUGUCCCCCAUUGGUCCCAGGGUCCCCAUGGUGGAGGUCCACCCUACAGCUACGCUUCCAGUCACAGAGUCUGAUGAGGAGCACAAGGGCACGAAGGCUUACCCUGAAAGCCCUGAGUGCAAAGCUGGAGCCACACCCGCUUCCUCCUACUGGCUCGACGCGAUGAGACCCUGAGGGAA
This is a long non-coding RNA of Solea senegalensis (Senegalese sole), 492 nucleotides long. RefSeq lists it as uncharacterized. Lineage: Eukaryota; Metazoa; Chordata; Actinopteri; Pleuronectiformes; Soleidae. The record is from RefSeq and is a predicted model, not a curated record. The transcript is spliced from 5 exons.